GACGAAGGGGGCUAGCGUUGUUCGGAAUUACUGGGCGUAAAGCGAGUGUAGGUGGUUGUCCAAGUUGGAUGUGAAAGCCUUGAGCUUAACUCAAGAAAUGCAUUCAGGACUGGGCGACUAGAGGACCGGAGAGGAUAGUGGAAUUCCCAGUGUAGUGGUGAAAUACGUAGAGAUUGGGAAGAACACCAGUGGCGAAGGCGGCUAUCUGGACGGUUUCUGACACUAAGACUCGAAAGCGUGGGGAGCAAACAGG
RNAcentral lists this ribosomal RNA (253 nucleotides) under uncultured bacterium. RNAcentral's name for it is "partial 16S ribosomal RNA". It matches the Rfam family "Bacterial small subunit ribosomal RNA", at positions 524 to 776 of the family's 1533-position model. The record is from RNAcentral.